RNAcentral lists this ribosomal RNA (117 nucleotides) under Acidobacteriota bacterium. The record is from RNAcentral. Lineage: Bacteria; Pseudomonadati; Acidobacteriota.
CCCGGUGGUCAUAGGGGUAGGGUCACACCCGUUCCCAUUCCGAACACGGAAGUUAAGCCUACCACCGCCGAUGGUACUGCACGCGCAGGUGUGUGGGAGAGUAGGUCGCUGCCGGGA